AGAGCGAACGCUGGCGGCAGGCCUAAAACAUGCAAGUCGAACGAACCCUUCGGGGUUAGUGGCGGACGGGUGAGUAACACGUGGGAACGUGCCUUUUGGUUCGGAACAACUCAGGGAAACUUGAGCUAAUACCGAAUGUGCCCUUCGGGGGAAAGAUUAUCGCCAUUAGAGCGGCCCGCGUCUGAUUAGCUAGUUGGUGAGGUAAAGGCUCACCAAGGCUACGAUCAGUAGCUGGUCUGAGAGGAUGAUCAGCCACACUGGGACUGAGACACGGCCCAGACUCCUACGGGAGGCAGCAGUUAGGAAUCUGCGCAAUGGGCAAAGCCUGACGCAGCCAUGCCGCGUGAAUGAUGAAGGUCUUAGGAUUGUAAAAUUCUUUCAGCGGGGACGAUAAUGACGGUACCCGCAGAAGAAGCUCCGGCUAACUUCGUGCCAGCAGCCGC
This 443-nucleotide ribosomal RNA is filed under the name uncultured bacterium. RNAcentral's name for it is "SSU rRNA". It matches the Rfam family "Bacterial small subunit ribosomal RNA", at positions 26 to 518 of the family's 1533-position model. The record is from RNAcentral.